UCAGCAGACGCUCUUAUCCACAGCGAAUUACAGUCAGUGCAUCCAAAUAAGGUAGACCUCUUUUCAACUUUCAUUCAGAACCAAAAAUGAACCUUAUUUCUACAUCUGGAAAAUACGUCUUUUCAACGUAAUUUCUCUCACUGGGGACUAUGACUGAUAACAAAAACUGCGUGUUUCAGUCAAAUAUGAAAUGAGAAGACAUCAUAUAAAUCCAACAGGCGCUGGCUGACAACGAGGUAUUUCAUGUUUGUGGCUGACGAUUAAACAGAGACCCCAAUCAUAUUGGGAUUGGUGAAGACAGUUAGUGAAGGUAUCCUCCAUUUGAUCAAUUGUGGGGAACCACAAAAGAAAACACUCGUCUGGGAAAUUGAACUGUUGUCACUCACCUACAUGUGAAGUUGUCUCUGUUGUGGAAGCGUCAUGUCAGACAUGACAUAACAGCAUAUUGACAGGGUGUUAAAUUCCAAUUCCCAGCACGCCAGCAAUAGAGUGGAAAGCGUUGCAUGUUAGAUACGUCGUUUUUAUUCAAGGCUAUGCCCGAGACAAAAACAUUCACCUUUUAGCUCUGCCUCUAAAUAUACAUGCACCAAUCUGUAUGUCAGUUAAUUCAAGGUUAUUAUAAGUGCAAUUAUGUAUGACUGCCUUACGAGAACUAAUUAUUGAAGCAGCUAGCAGGCUAUUGGAGUAGGCUACUAGCCCUAGCAGUUCAGUCCUCCUCAAUGGAAACCUAACAUCACUCCGGAAGAGGUGACUGCAGUCUUUUACAUUGUACAAUUCAGAGAACAACGCAUCAUUGUGUUUUUCUUUUGUAUAUCUGACUUUUUAUCUUGGUCUCACUAUUCAGAAGUGUGGCUUCUGAACAGCAUUCCUGUGCUUCUAUUUUGAGUUACAGUAAUUCCCUCAAACACACGCCAAACAACUCAGGGAUAGGUUCUACCCUAUUUGCCUCAGUUGGUCCUAAAACAGUUCUACCUGCUUAAUUUCCUGUCUUACUGUUGACAGACAGUGGAGAUGUUUGAAGCGGUCUUUGUAUACAGGAGACGCCAUGAGGAAGUGCAGUCCCUGGACGUUUCUCCCUGCCAUGUACUCUCUCUUCACAGCUGCUGGACUCUGGGUUGUGUAUUUCAUAGCUGUUGAAGAUGAGAAGAUAACACCCCUGAGUUCAGAAUACAACCGAUCUGGCCCUAAAAUCCCCUCCAUAUAUAAGGUACAGUACACACCCUAUACUAGUACUAAUCUUUACCUCGGUUUGGUGAUCCCUGUCAAUACAAUUAUACCUCCAAGCUCGAGACCCUGGGUCUCGACCCCGCCCUGUGCAACUGGGUACUGGACUUCCUGACGGGCCGCCCCCAGGUGGUGAGGGUAGGCAACAACAUCUCCUCCCCGCUGAUCCUCAACACGGG
Molecule: long non-coding RNA, 1403 nt
Organism: Oncorhynchus gorbuscha (pink salmon)
Lineage: Eukaryota; Metazoa; Chordata; Actinopteri; Salmoniformes; Salmonidae
Exons: 3
Source: RefSeq, a predicted model, not a curated record